Molecule: long non-coding RNA, 539 nt
Filed under: Nicotiana tabacum (common tobacco)
Lineage: Eukaryota; Viridiplantae; Streptophyta; Magnoliopsida; Solanales; Solanaceae
Description: long non-coding RNA (NTAB_LNC000208)
Source: RNAcentral
CAUUCAGUGAAAAAUGGCAGCCAUGAACAAUAUGCUCAUGAUGUUAAUGGUGGCUGCAAUUUUGUUUUGUAGCCACCAACAAGUGGCCACGGCGAGAGAAGUGGUUGUGGCAGAUGACAGGAAUGAGUUACAACUGCUUUGGCCAUGGGAAAUUCCCUGUUAUCUGACAUGGCCAUUUCCGUGGCCACCACCACCGCCAUGGCCAUGCCCUCCUCCACGACCACGUCCACGUCCACGUCCACGACCAUGCCCUAGCCCUCCUCCACCACCACGGCCACGACCAUGCCCUAGCCCUCCUCCGCCACCACAACCACGACCACGACCAUCUCCUCCACCACCUCCACCACCAUCCCCACCCCCUCCCGCCCCGAGUUCGAGCUGCUCGGCUAGUGACCAAGCAAAGGUUAAGAAGUGCAUGUUCAACACACCUAAAAUUGAUGAAUGCUGCCCAACAUUCAAGAGCAUACUUGGAACUAGUUGCCCUUGCUAUAAAUAUGCAGAGGAUUUGGAUAAUCAAGUGUUAAUCACUCUUGAAGCUU